AGCCCUGAGGUGUUUCACGUCAAAAUGCAAGUUUGAAGAAGGCCCCUACAGGGACCCGGGGCUU
RNAcentral lists this transfer RNA (64 nucleotides) under Cophosaurus texanus. RNAcentral describes it as "tRNA-Cys". The record is from RNAcentral. Lineage: Eukaryota; Metazoa; Chordata; Lepidosauria; Squamata; Phrynosomatidae.